GCUGGGCCCCUGUGCCGCUGCGGCUGCCGCUGCGGCUGCCGCUGCCGCUGCCGCUGCCGCUGCCGCUGCCGCUGCCGCUGCUGCUGGGGCCCGGCCCUCCACCACCAUCAUCGCCGCCGCCGCCACCGCCACGUGUCGGGCCCUUCUCGCCAGCGGUGGCAGCCUACCCCUGGAAGAUGCAAGCCCUGUUCUAAGCACUAUGCAGCGUACAUGUUGUAGCGGCGCCGCACAUCCACCGCAGCCUCCCAAUUCUCGAGGACGACAGUACGAAAGUGUACCGCACUUUAGAGGCGCAACAGGCUUGGAGGGUCGAUGGCCUCACACAGCGGGCACGCAGCGUCCCCGACCGGCCUGCGACCGCCCUGCGGCCGGCCUGGCGGCCGGCAAGGGCCUAGCACGCCCCCGGCGUGCUUCACUACCCCGUUCAAAAGCCUACCCCCCCUCCUUUUCUUUGUAAGCGCCGGUGCAACAGUACGGGCUGUGGCACCUACUCCGUUUCUACCGGCAGUGGGGCCAGCGGCGGUGGCGCCUGACUGUCCAUGUGCGGACGCAGAAGGUGGGGGUUGAGGGGAGGGGGCCAGCAGAUGCAUCCACACCAACUGCACUGCGCUGACGCUACACCAAUGCCACGGGUACAGGUGCUGGAGCACACGGCGCAGCAGCUGGCUGGUGGAAGGCCCAAGGAGGAGGUCAUUGUUGGCUGGGGCAACGCCAACACUGGCUAUGGCGGUUGCAUCAGCAGGUUGGGGCGGGGCCCAAACCGGGCACUGCUCCGCCUGCUGGUGGACAAGUACGCGCACCUGGUGGUGUACGUGGACGAGUUCUACACAUCGCAGGCAAGAUGAGAGCAGACGGGUUGGAAUGAGUAGACAGGUGGUCGGGUGGACAGGAUGGGGCUCGUGUACAGGUAGCCGGGUAGCCAGCAAGGUUCACACUGUACUCCUGCCCCCUCCCUCCCCAGGUGUGUGCGAAGUGCGGGCGGCGCUUACUCGGCAACGGGCAGCGCUGCCUGCAGGCGGUCGUACCAUGGGGGGGCUUACGUGCUCACCAAGUCCAAGUGUGCAACCACUGCGGGACGGUGUGGGUGAGUCCACUUUGUGGGCGGGCGGCUGGCUGGGCGAUGGAUGGGUGGCUGGGUGGCGGCUCAGUGGGGCUCAGUGGGUGAUGGCUGGCUGGGUGACGGCUCAGUGGGGCUCAGUGGGGCGCAGUCGUGGGCUCAGUGGGGCUCAGUGGGUGAUGGCUGGGUGACGGCUGGGUGACGGCUCAGUCGUGGGCUCAGUGGGACUCACUCACUCUACCCUCCCGACGGUGCAGGGACGUGACGUCAACUCCGCAACCAACAUCCGGCACGCGCUGGUGGAAAUGCUGCUGGGGCACAAGCGACCUGCAUCGCUGCAGACUGGCGGCGGCGGCGGCGGCGGCGGCGGCGGCGGCGGCGGCAGCGGCGGCGGCGGCGGCAGCGGCGGCGGCGGCGGCGGCAGCGGCGGCGGCGGCGGCGGCAGCGGCAGCGGCGGCGGCGGCGGCAGCGGCAGCGGCAGCGGCGGCGGCGGCGGCAGCGGCAGCGGCGGCGGCGCGUGCGCGCAUCUUGGUAGCGGAGGGGGCGGGAAAGGCCACGUGGAGGAGGAGAGCGCAGCGCCGCCCAAGAAGCGGCGCAAGCGCGCAGGCUGAGGAGCCGGCUGGUGUCUAGGUAGCGGUCCGCGGUGGGGCUGGCAGGGAAUGCGUAGCGGCGUGACAAGUAGUGCGGCUGUUGACAACUGUGCUACGUCUGGCUGUGGUUGGCUCUGCUGUGGCAUCGCGAUUGCUAGGCACCUGGUUUGGCUAUGUGCCUGUGGAAACCGACCCCGGCUAUGUCCGGGCGAUGAGGUUGUUCGGCCUCAGAGAGUGGAGGGGCUCAGCCCCUUUUCCCGUGACCGGGGAACACUUGUCUUUGUAACCACUAAAACUCUGCUUGGCUCUAUCAAGCUGUAUAUGACGCAGGCAGUGGCAGUUGCAAGAACGGCAACAGCAGCGCGGCUAAGCGGCAACAAGUGUAGCGGAGGAGGCCCUGGGGGCAGGGGGCAGGGGCUGGUACAAACCGGGUGACGGCAAUGGCAGCGGCUUGUUAUAGGCGGCGUUGGGGCCGGCAGCUAGCGUGGGUGGUGAUUGGUUUGGCGGCAGGUGCAAAUAGCAACGGCUGCUGCAGUGAUGGUCGGUGACGGUGGUGGCUAUGGUGUCUGAGGCGGCAGUUGCAUAAGAUGCGGCAGCAGAGAGAGACGGGUGCUGCGCUGGUGGUGGCUGCGGUGGACGUUGCAUCGGUGAGGGGCAGCGGAAACGGCGUAGGGGGGGGCAUGGUGGCGGACGGUCCCGACAGCUUUUGGGGAUGGCGGCGUAGGCAUGGCAACCCACUACACACCUCCACCGUACCCAGCCGUGUUUGGUUGCGUGCACAGACCGGUCUCUGUCGCCCAGAACGGCAGACAGCUCCGCAGCUCAGGCCGAGGCUGCCUCCAUGUGAUAAACAACCGUGGCUUCGGUGGCAGUUCACUGCAGGCCCGUGUGGUCGUGGGGGGGGGCAACGCCACACGCGACCAGUGUUUGUUUUCGCGCGGCGCGGGGCCGCAGGCCGCGCUCUACCAAGCAGCAUCUCGCCAUGGCAGGAAAAAGAAAAGGAAGGCGGAACACGCAAACCCCGCACCAAGCCCAAACGACCGCGAGCACGGUAACCACCGCAGGCGCACGACCAAGCGCAGGCGCACACGCAACAACACACAGCAAGCUGGGUCAUGGGCCGCACGCAAGCCGGGGCACACAGGCAGCAGCUAACCGACCGCCACGCACGCGGACCGGACCAAGCGGCUGCGCUCAAGGACUCCACAACAAAGCAGACCAGCUGCCGCACGGGAACCACUGCCGGCGCCCGACCAAACGCAGGCACACACGCAUCAACACGCUGCCAAACCGAGCCCACCCCAGCCGCUACCACCGCCAAGCAGGCCUCCUGCAGCCAGAUAGCUGCUCGCGUGCGGCCGUACCGCCCGGCGUUGCACUUUGUCACCACGCCCCAGCUGCAGCCGUCCACCUGGAUCGCUUCGCCCCCCCCUGGAUCGUCUUCGCUCGGGGGGCUCAGCUCGACAAGAAAAGGUGGCUCUCCCUUGCAAGGGAAAAGUGGGCUGAGCCCACGCCACGUCCUCCGUCUGAGGCCGAAGGUUCCGAUACUAGCCUCAUCUCCCGGACAUAGCCGGGUACAGGCACCGCCCGCCAUAUGUGCCCAGUCGCGCCCAGCUAUCAAGCGCUAGUGCAGCAGGCAGCAGGCCAACCAGACAGCAAGGAAAACACCCCUGCCGCUGCAGCCGACUGCCCGCUACGCCAUGCUUCAGCUCAGCCCAAAAAUGUGCAUGCAGCUCAGCUCGAAAAGAAUUCGAAGGCGACGGCCGCCUCCCAGCCGGCGGCAGCAGGAAACCAGCCCGCAGGCCAGAGCCCGCGGCUCCGUCAGCGCGGGUGUCCGCGCGCUUGGCGGCAGGGGCCCAAUCGAGGCCGUCGGCCUCCUGAGGGCCACGCCGCCCCAAAGCCGACCGUGGAUCCAACAGCAUGGCGGCCGGCCCACCGGCACCGCCAGGAGGCAUUGGAAGUGGUGGCGCCUCCGGGAGCGGCGGUGGCGGCGGAAGCGGCGGUGGCAGUGGGAGCGGCGGCGGCGGUGGGAGCGCCAGCAGUGGCUCGGGCAGCGCCGGCGCCACUGCCACCUUCCGCCGACCUUCCUGAGCCUUGCCGGACCGCGCUGGCGGGGGAGGCGAAGACGGACGCCCUCCUGCGGCAGCGGCGCCGGUACGGACGCGGCAGCGAGGCGGUGGCUGCGCCGCGAUGACGGGUCGGGCGACGACAGCCGCGGGGACGGGACGGGACGGGACGACAGCCGCGGGAUGCCGGACCGCGCCACCGCAUGUGCUCGGACCGCCAUCGCCUGCGGACUGAGGCCGCCCCGCGCCAUGCGAGCAGGGGCCGGAGCGCAGCGGGGUACAGGCAGCUGCGGACACCAGUGCAGUGCAGUGCAGUGCAGUGCCGGCACAGCCAGCUGUCCGACUGCACCUUCUCCAGGCCACCCAAGCACCGCAGAUGCCAGCUGCCGUCACAGCCGUCGCAAAGCAGCAUCUGAGGCUCAUUGUCGGCUUUGCGGCAUACUUCACAGUACUGCUUGCCCGGCGUCCAGCACACCGAGUCGCCAAAUGGCAAGGCAGGCAGCGGGUACUGGCCAGCCCCCACUCAAGCCGGCCGUCGGGCGCCACCAGGGCCACGCCCCCACGCGGCCCGGCAGACCGCACACGGCGCACCUCAAACGGCUGCACGAACCCAGCCGACUGCCAAGGCCGACACUUGAAGACGUAGCUACCCCGCACCAAAGGCGCCACUGGGCCGCCGGGCGCGGGGCCGCGGGCCCGCCUCCACCAGCCCAGGCGGAACGCGCAAGGGCAGCGGUGGCAGUGGCCGGACAGGGGCGGCUGCUGCGGCUGCUGCGGCUGCUGCGGCUGCUGCGACUGCUGCGGCUGCUUCAGCGACGGGGAGGGCCCUUACGGCGCUGGCAACGGGAAUGGCGAGGGCGGAGGUCCACGAGCAGGGACGACAGGCAGCGGCGCGGCAGGCAGGAGUAACUUGACACCAAUUUGCACAACGUCCCUGGCGGGCAUGUAACAUCGCAACCAGGGCACCCAUGAUCGCAACUGAGCGCGGCUGGCACAGGGGCACGCACCAUUGGGCUGGCACGAUGCACACAGCGAUUGGUGGCCAGCUCCACACCCCUAAAGGCUAAAGCGCCACUGUGAGCAGGGUUGCGCACCAGGGCGCACCGAAGUUGGUGACACAGAGGAUAGAUAGCAUUGGGUGUCACCUUAGCACUACCUUUAUUUACCCCACCAGAAGCCUCUUCAUCCGCAUUGGGCGCCGUGUAGCACGGGUGGUACACGCCUUGUGACAACUAAGUUACCAUUUCCGCCGCGACGUAGCCGUUAUUGACGUGCGUUGCGGAACUAUUACGUACGCGUGUAACCCGUGUUUCAGUGCGGGCGGAGGACUGCAGCCAUGUUGGCGUGCUCCGGCCCCAGGUACAGUACCGCCAGUACAUCAAACACUCAAACAGUUCGCGGGAACAAGCGGCACGUCUGCACUUGAGUACGCCGUCUGAUGUCGUAGUCAGUAAGGGUCAUCCCAUCCCACGCAGCAGUCGAGUGUAGUUGCCCAAGCUUCACGGCGGCCCUGCACCCUGCAGCUAGCAAGGAUGCGAAGAGAAGUGGCCGUAGCCGCAGGACAGAGGUAGGUCGAACUCUUGACGUCUGAAGUGAUGAAAUGGAGAUGCUGGACUCAUGGCGAGUGGUCACGGCCUGCAUUGUAACGUGCGGCCCUGCAACCCCCACCGUACAGCCUGCGGUUUCGCACGCGACGUCCUCUCUGUCAACUUUCUUCCCACGCGGUGCAAUCAGCCAACGCUCCUCAGCUUGGCAGCCAUCCGCCACAAAGUAACGCCUCUCUUAUCUCGGGGCACGCCCCUUGACCGCUAGUGCACUUCCGCAUACGCCCCCGCAGAGUCCACCUGGGCCCGGCAAUGGGUUCAGCGCGGCCCUCCCUAUUGGAACCAUAACCACGUGCAGCACUUUUGUAUUGAAUACGCCAAGCCGUCAAGCGGCUCGGCGCGUGCGUGCGGGUCAGCGCGCAGACGAUGUGCACACACACAGGCGCGACAAGAGCAGGGGUACACCCGCUCCGCGCAAACUGGCAGGCGGCAUGGUGUGGGCAAGCUCUAAUUUCACACAGCCUCGGCGCUGUAAGCGCUCCCAAAAUAAAAUGCUGUCACCCGACUUGUACGGCUCAUUGCGCAUUCGGGCGGGUAGCUCAAAAUCCGCCCGCGCGCUUGAAUCGUCUCCUUUCAACCCCGCCGCGGUGGUUGUUUUGCGACAGACUCAAAGUGAGAAAUUUAAAAUGCAAAUUGCCACACCUUGCUUGCACGCUCUUUAGCAUUCGCUGUAGACGACCUCCUUCCCACCCGUUCGCGCGCAGAAUGGCCGCCCUGGAGUCCUUCCUGUAUACCUCGGAGUCGGUGAACGAGGGUCACCCCGACAAGAUCUGCGACCAGGCACGUUAGACGCGGCGGCGCAAUUCCGCGCCUAUUGAGUCGCCUGGGGGCUCCGCUCUGGUGCAACCGAAUUAUUCUUGGACAUCGCUAGCUUUGUCAACUGAUCUAAAGCCAGCGCUCCGGGGCGCGACGCUCCUCCGAGCUGGACAGGGUACUGAUGGUGCGGUUGUUCCCCGGUGCAGGUGUCCGAUGCUGUCCUGGACGCCUGCCUGGAGCAGGACCCCGACUCAAAGGUUGCCUGCGAGACGUGCUGCAAGACUGGUGAGCGUUUACGCCGACCGAACGCUGCCAGCCCAGAUCAUUCAACAACGCAAGUGUCGCACCCAUGGUUUAAGCUGCAUAACAAGUGAAAUCCACCUUCGAAAGAAAGUUGGUCGUGGUUUUCUGAGCUGGAGCCGACCCUUUUGGCCUGCAGGCAUGGUGAUGGUGUUCGGUGAGAUCACCACCAAGGCGAAGGUUGACUACGAGGCCAUUGUGCGCAAGGUGUGCAAGGAGAUUGGCUUCACCUCGGAGGACGUGGGCCUGGACGCCGACAAGUGCAAGGUGCGUUGCUGAGGCCGGCGUUCGGGCGUGCUCCGCUGUGCUGGCCCUCGCCUUGGCCCUUGCCUUCCGCGCCCCCAGGCCCCACGCGCUCGCUGCCCUGGCUUGCGCUGCCACAAACCUCCUAUGUCACCAUGGUAUUCUCGUAGGUGCUGGUCCACAUCGAGGAGCAGUCGCCCGAUAUCGGCCAGGGCGUGCACGGCAUGGGCACCAAGGCGCUGGAGGAGAUCGGCGCCGGUGACCAGGGCCACAUGUUCGGCUACGCCACUGACGAGACCCCCGAGCUGAUGCCCCUGACCCACGUGCUGGCCACCCAGCUGGGCUACAAGCUGACUGAGGUCCGCAAGAACGGCGUCUGCCCGUGGCUGCGCCCUGACGGCAAGACCCAGGUGAGCUGCCUUUCGCUGAGGGCCAAGCGUUUUCUAUAAUGGCGGAGACUGCAAGGGCCAGGGUGGUUUCCCGACCUCCAUGGCGCUCAGCAAUGCUAGGCAUCGCGACCAUGAAUUCCCAUUUACUGUCUCCCCAAUCGGUGCUGCCAUCGCCUCCUGACAGGUCACCGUGGAGUACAAGCGCGAGGGCGGCGCCAUGAUUCCCCAGCGCGUGCACACCAUCCUGAUCUCGACCCAGCACAACCCCGAUGUGACCAACGAGAAGAUUCGUGAGGACCUGAUGGAGCACGUGAUCAAGCCCGUGGUGCCGGCCAAGUACCUGGACGACAAGACCAUCUUCCACCUGAACCCCUCGGGCCGUUUCGUGAUUGGUGGCCCCCACGGCGACGCCGGUCUGACUGGCCGCAAGAUCAUCAUCGACACCUACGGCGGCUGGGGUGCCCACGGUGGUGGCGCCUUCUCGGGCAAGGACCCGACCAAGGUCGACCGCUCGGGCGCCUACAUCGCCCGCCAGGCCGCUAAGUCCGUCGUUGCGUCGGGCCUGGCCAAGCGGUGAGUGGGUAGCAGCUGGCAACUGUUUGGAAUGGUCAUGGAACCGAAGGGCUAUGGCAAGCGGGCCAGGAUUGGUAUUGUCAUCGUCUGAUGUGCCAUACGAGUUUGGCCUAACCUCGUGUCCGCACCAUGGCUCUGUCUCCUCCGCGUAACCUCUUGUCCUCGCCAUGGUUCCGUCUCCUCCGCCCCUGCAGCUGCCUGGUCCAGGUGUCGUACUCGAUCGCUGUGGCUGAGCCCCUGUCGGUGUUCGUUGACACCUACGGCACCGGCACCAUGCCCGAUGCCGAGAUCCUGAAGCUGAUCCGGAAGCACUUCGACUUCCGCCCCGGUGAGAACUGCUGUUGUGAGGGCUUACCCAGACUCAUGCGGUUCUGCUGUGGAUUCAAGGCUUUGAUGCUGACUCGCAGUGAUGGGAAUCUGUGGGACACCUGCAUGCAGUCCAAAGCGCAGAUCGCAUUGUGCAGUUUGCCUUGAUGCGCUCCGGUUUCCACCCAUCGAUUUUCCCAUGCACAGGCCUCAUCGGCAAGAAC
This 8108-nucleotide long non-coding RNA is filed under the name Chlamydomonas reinhardtii. RNAcentral describes it as "long non-coding RNA (CREI_LNC000466)". The record is from RNAcentral. Lineage: Eukaryota; Viridiplantae; Chlorophyta; Chlorophyceae; Chlamydomonadales; Chlamydomonadaceae.